ACUCACAGGGAUCAGCUGGGACAACUUCCGGGGAGCCAGAGUGAUUGCCCUUCCAGGGAGCCCGGCCUAUGCCCGGAACCACGGCGUUUACCUCACCGACGCCCAGGGCUUCGUUUUGGACAUUUACUACCAGGGCACCGAGGCAGAGAUACAACGGUGUGCCAGGCCGGAUGGGCGGGUUCCACUGGUACAGCUGCCAGACCCAUGCGGGGGGCUUUGGAGACCUUCUGGGACAAGAAGGGAGGGUUCGCCUAUCUGCACUCCUUCCAGAAGAUUCUGGGGCAGGCUCGAACCAGAAUAUGAGUAAGAUCUGGAACUAGCAUUCAGGGGAGCCGGUGGAGCUAGGAUCUCAGGCAGGUGUGGCAGAAAGGCUGGAACCAGCAUGUGAGUAAUUUCAGGAAUACAGUUGGGAGGAAGUCUAGAAUCUGACUUGGGGGAUCCUUCUAGAAUGAAAAGCAAGGAUAGGAACAUUGGGUAAGGGUCUGGGACUGGACCUUGAGGAAGAUGGGGAGCUAUUUCUCAUUCUCUAUAUCUAGUUCAGGGAGGCCUGACAAUUGGGGUGGGGGUCCCAGAAGGUGGCUGUUGAGGGGUCCCUUGGUGGGAGCCCCUCCCAAGCUUGGAGGCUGGGCACUGGAGUGGCUCAAAGACAAAGGGCCCUGCCUGGUUUGGCAGUCAGCCUUGCUUGGCCCAUCUAUCUGUGUCCUUCCCAACUCAGGCCCCAGACUGGCUCCAGAGUCCCACAACCUGACCUUGACCUCUCUAGGUCUCAGGGAUCGCCUUCUUCUCUGUGGAGACUGCUGAGCACCUCCUGGCCACCCAUGUGAGCCCACCCUUGGAUGCCUGUACCUACAUGGGCUUAGACUCUGGAGCCCGGCCUGUCCAGCUGUCUCUCUUUUUCGACAUCCUGCUCUGCAUGGCCCGGAAUGUGAACAGGGAGGACUUCCUGGUGGGGCAGCCUCCAGAGAUGGGCCAAGGGGACGCGGACAUGAAA
Molecule: long non-coding RNA, 991 nt
Organism: Suricata suricatta (meerkat)
Lineage: Eukaryota; Metazoa; Chordata; Mammalia; Carnivora; Herpestidae
Exons: 3
Source: RefSeq, a predicted model, not a curated record